This 481-nucleotide ribosomal RNA is filed under the name uncultured bacterium. RNAcentral describes it as "partial 16S ribosomal RNA". It matches the Rfam family "Bacterial small subunit ribosomal RNA", at positions 28 to 507 of the family's 1533-position model. The record is from RNAcentral.
GAUGAACGCUGGCGGCGUGCUUAACACAUGCAAGUCGAACGAAGCACUUUAUUUGAUUUCCUUCGGGAAUGAUUAUCUUGUGACUGAGUGGCGGACGGGUGAGUAACGCGUGGGUAACGUGCCUUGUACAGGGGGGUAACAGAUGGAAACGGCUGCUAAUACGGCAUAAGCGCACAGCAUCGCAUGAUGCAGUGAGAAAAACUCAGGUGGUAUAAGAUGGACCCGAGUUGGAUUCGAUAGUUGGUGAGGUAACGGGCCACCAAGGCGACGAUCCAUAGCCGGCCUGGGAGGGUGACCGGCCACAGUGGGACUGAGACACGGCCCAAACUCCUACGGGAGGCAGCAGUGAGGAAUAUUGCACAAUGGGCGAAAGCCUGAUGGAGCGACGCCGCGUGAACGAAGAAGUAUUUCGGGAUGUAAAGCUCUAUCAGCAGGGAAGAUAAUGACGGUACCUGACUAAGAAGCACCGGCUAAAUACGUG